This 582-nucleotide ribosomal RNA is filed under the name uncultured fungus. Its description in RNAcentral is "SSU rRNA". It matches the Rfam family "Eukaryotic small subunit ribosomal RNA", at positions 83 to 668 of the family's 1831-position model. Lineage: Eukaryota; Fungi. The record is from RNAcentral.
GAAACUGCGAAUGGCUCAUUAAAUCAGUUAUCGUUUAUUUGAUAAUACCUUACUACUUGGAUAACCGUGGUAAUUCUAGAGCUAAUACAUGCUGAAAAUCCCGACUUCGGAAGGGAUGUGUUUAUUAGAUAAAAAACCAAUGCCCUUCGGGGCUUUUUGGUGAUUCAUGAUAACUUUACGGAUCGCAUAGCCUUGCGCUGGCGACGGUUCAUUCAAAUUUCUGCCCUAUCAACUUUCGAUGGUAAGGUAUUGGCUUACCAUGGUUUCAACGGGUAACGGGGAAUUAGGGUUCGAUUCCGGAGAGGGAGCCUGAGAAACGGCUACCACAUCCAAGGAAGGCAGCAGGCGCGCAAAUUACCCAAUCCCGACACGGGGAGGUAGUGACAAUAAAUACUGAUACAGGGCUCUUUUGGGUCUUGUAAUUGGAAUGGGUACAAUUUAAACCUCUUAACGAGGAACAAUUGGAGGGCAAGUCUGGUGCCAGCAGCCGCGGUAAUUCCAGCCCCAAUAGCGUAUAUUAAAGUUGUUGCAGUUAAAAAGCUCGUAGUUGAAACUUGGGCCUGGCUGGCGGGUCCGCCUCAC